CUUAGCUUUUGAGGAGAUCAUGAACCUAGGACCCAUCUAUCUGGCCUGAGGGUGUGGGCAGCAAGCCCCAGGGAUGCCCCUCUCUGCCCCCCCAACACUGCAGUGAUAGGUGCAUGUCGCUGUGCCUGAGUCUUUAUGUGGUGGUUAGGGGUCAAACUCAGGCCUUCAUGCUUACAAAACAAGUACUUUACUCACCAAACCAUUUCCAUGACCCCAAGAUCUUAUUCUGAUGUCACAGAGGAGGAAAGGAACAUGUUCUCAGGGGCCAUUGGCAGGUUCCACCCUUGGCAGUUUUCUGAGGCUGAGCUUCCCUCGCAUGCAUCAUACAGUCUCAAUCCCACCUUGCUGCCUCCAUUUUACAGAUGAUGUAUCCAAGGCAGGAGCAGCUCUCUGGGCCUCACCUGGGCUGGAAAUGGCUCAGGACAUAAACCAGAACGGCUCCACCCCACCGCCGCGGCAGCAGCCCCGACCUGACACGUGGGUGCUCUGUAGAAGACCCGCCCUUGCUCUGUCCUCCUGUCUGUCACCAAGACCCCAGCUUGCUUUGGGAAGGGAGUUUGAUUCAUCAGAGUCCACACCGCGGUGA
This 586-nucleotide long non-coding RNA is filed under the name Mus spicilegus (steppe mouse). RNAcentral describes it as "lncRNA (ENSMSIG00000005322.1)". The record is from RNAcentral. Lineage: Eukaryota; Metazoa; Chordata; Mammalia; Rodentia; Muridae.